Chenopodium quinoa (quinoa) is the source of this 270-nucleotide long non-coding RNA. RefSeq lists it as uncharacterized. Lineage: Eukaryota; Viridiplantae; Streptophyta; Magnoliopsida; Caryophyllales; Amaranthaceae. The record is from RefSeq and is a predicted model, not a curated record. The transcript has 3 exons.
CACGGUGGAAUCGAUUAAGGAACAAGUCCGCAACGAGCUCGUAAGUGAAUUUAACGCUUGGGCGAAGCAAAUGAACCUACCGAGCUUGCCUUUCCCCUCGAAUACACCCGUCGACUCAUGUAGUCACCCAAAAGGACAAGGGGAAGAUGAUAUACAUGGAGACGAUGAUGCAAAUGAGGGUGGUACGCCUACACAUGCGGACUCGAGGGAGCUCGAUAAUCCAGCACCUCAUCAUUUUCCAGAUUUACAGGAAGAGACCCGUUGUGCACU